Molecule: transfer RNA, 66 nt
Filed under: Entemnotrochus adansonianus
Lineage: Eukaryota; Metazoa; Mollusca; Gastropoda; Pleurotomariida; Pleurotomariidae
Description: tRNA-Asn
Source: RNAcentral
UGAGUAGAAGCCAAUUUGGCGUCUAGCCGUUAAUUAGAAGUUUGUAGGAUUAACCUACCUACUCAG